UGGGGAAUAUUGCACAAUGGGCGCAAGCCUGAUGCAGCCAUGCCGCGUGUGUGAAGAAGGCCUUCGGGCUGUAAAGCACUUUCAGCGGGGAGGAAGGCGGUGAGGUUAAUAACCUCAUCGAUUGACGUUACCCGCAGAAGAAGCACCGGCUAACUCCGUGCCAGCAGCCGCGGUAAUACGGAGGGUGCAAGCGUUAAUCGGAAUUACUGGGCGUAAAGCGCACGCAGGCGGUCUGUCAAGUCGGAUGUGAAAUCCCCGGGCUCAAACUGGGAACUGCAUUCGAAACUGGCAGGCUAGAGUCUUGUAGAGGGGGGUAGAAUUCCAGGUGUAGCGGUGAAAUGCGUAGAGAUCUGGAGGAAUACCGGUGGCGAAGGCGGCCCCCUGGACAAAGACUGACGCUCAGGUGCGAAAGGGUGGGGAGCAAACAGG
This 429-nucleotide ribosomal RNA is filed under the name Chloroflexota bacterium. RNAcentral describes it as "Chloroflexi bacterium partial 16S ribosomal RNA". It matches the Rfam family "Bacterial small subunit ribosomal RNA", at positions 355 to 776 of the family's 1533-position model. Lineage: Bacteria; Bacillati; Chloroflexota. The record is from RNAcentral.